UACAGAGGUCUCAAGCGUUGUUCGGAUUCAUUGGGCGUAAAGGGUGCGUAGGCGGCGCGGUAAGUCGGGUGUGAAAUCUUGGAGCUUAACUCCGAAACUGCCAUUGAUACUAUUAGUCUUGAAUACCAUGGAGGUGAGCGGAAUAUGUCAUGUAGCGGUGAAAUGCUUAGAUAUGACAUAGAACACCAAUUGCGAAGGCAGCUCGCUACGCGGUUAUUGACACUGAGGCACGAAAGCGUGGGGAUCAAACAGG
This 253-nucleotide ribosomal RNA is filed under the name uncultured bacterium. RNAcentral describes it as "partial 16S ribosomal RNA". It matches the Rfam family "Bacterial small subunit ribosomal RNA", at positions 524 to 776 of the family's 1533-position model. The record is from RNAcentral.